Molecule: ribosomal RNA, 383 nt
Filed under: uncultured eukaryote
Lineage: Eukaryota
Description: partial 18S ribosomal RNA
Rfam family: Eukaryotic small subunit ribosomal RNA
Source: RNAcentral
CAAUAGCGUAUAUUAAAGUUGUUGCAGUUAAAAAGCUCGUAGUUGGAUUUCUGGUGGGAGCGAUCGGUCUGGCGCUUAGCGCGAGUACUUGCAUCGUCUCCGGCCAUCCUUGGGGAGAGUCUGUCUGGCAUUAGGUUGUCGGGCAGAGGAUCCUCAUCGUUUACUGUGAAAAAAUUAGAGUGUUCAAAGCAGGCUUAUGCCGUUGAAUAUAUUAGCAUGGAAUAAUAAGAUAGGACUUUGGUACUAUUUUGUUGGUUUGCGCACCAAAGUAAUGAUUAAUAGGGACAGUUGGGGGUAUUCGUAUUCCGUUGUCAAAGGUGAAAUUCUUGGAUUUACGGAAGACGAACUACUGCGAAAGCAUUUACCAAGGAUGUUUUCAUUAA